Molecule: ribosomal RNA, 913 nt
Filed under: uncultured archaeon
Lineage: Archaea
Description: bacterial SSU rRNA
Rfam family: Archaeal small subunit ribosomal RNA
Source: RNAcentral
UUCCGGUUGAUCCUGCCGGACCUGACUGCUAUCGGAUUGAUACUAAGCCAUGCGAGUCAUUGUAGCAAUACAAGGCAGACGGCUCAGUAACGCGUAGUCAACCUACCCUAUGGACAGGGAUAACCUCGGGAAACUGAGAAUAAUACCAGAUAGAACAUUAUGCCUGGAACGGUUUAUGUUUAAAAUAAUUUAUUGCCGUAGGAUGGGACUGCGGCCUAUCAGUUUGUUGGUGAGGUAAUGGCCCACCAAGACUAUUACAGGUACGGGCUCUGAGAGGAGUAGCCCGGAGAUGGGUACUGAGACACGGACCCAGGCCCUAUGGGGCGCAGCAGGCGAGAAAACUUUGCAAUGUGCGAAAGCACGACAAGGUUAAUCCGAGUGAUUUCUGCUAAAGGAAUCUUUUGUCAGUCCUAGAAACACUGUUGAAUAAGGGGUGGGCAAGUUCUGGUGUCAGCCGCCGCGGUAAAACCAGCACCUCAAGUGGUCAGGAUGAUUAUUGGGCCUAAAGCAUCCGUAGCCUGCUUUGUCAGUUUUCGGUUAAAUCCAUACGCUCAACGUAUGGGCUGCCGGAAAUACUGCAAAGCUAGGGAGUGGGAGAGGUAGACGGUACUCGGGAGGAAGGGGUAAAAUCCUUUGAUCUCUCGAUGACCACCUGUGGCGAAAGGCGGUCUACCAGAACACGUCCGACGGUGAGGGAUGAAAGCUGGGGGAGCAAACCGGAUUAGAUACCCGGGUAGUCCCAGCUGUAAACUAUGCAAACUCAGUGAUGCAUUGGCUUGAUGCUAAUGCGGUGUUGCAGGGAAGCCGUUAAGUUUGCCGCCUGGGAAGUACGUACGCAAGUAUGAAACUUAAAGGAAUUGGCGGGGGGAGCACCACAGGGGUGAGCCUGGCGAUCAAUUGGACUCACGCCGGU